AUGAACAAAUGAGUUAGUUAUAUGAAAAGGAAAGAACACGGAUUGCAAAACAUUAUCCACGCAACACUCAUGUAUACUGGUGGAGGUGUCCUAUAAAUACAGGUAUACUUCCGAUAAAAAUAAGAAACAAAUAAAGGGAUGCCCCUAAAUAGAGUAAGAAACUUCUGGUGGAGGCUUACAAAGAAUAUUCUUCCAAUUAGAGGAAACUUGUCAAAGAAAGGAAUUCAAAACUGCUUUGUAUCCUUCCAUGGAAAAUUUUGGGACAUAGAGGCCAAUAUGUCUUUAUGAACAAAGCUGUCAACUCCAUUGAAAUUAACAACGCAGAAAGCAAUGUCCGUUGUCCAAGAGCUAGGUAUCUGUACCAAAGCCCUAAAAUCUAAACCCCCCCAUAAUCCCCUUGAUAAUGGCUUGAAUACAAAUUCCAUAGAAAACAACAUUUUUGUUGAUGUUGGAUGUUUUGCAGGUGGUGCAGCAGGUUGGGGGCUGAUUUUCUAUGACAGUGUCGCAACAGUUAGUAGAACCUUAGGUGGCUGAAGCAAUGGGGUUAGAUGGAGCCUGCAACUACCUAUGAAUCACAAUAUGCACAGG
This 588-nucleotide long non-coding RNA is filed under the name Trifolium pratense (red clover). RNAcentral's name for it is "long non-coding RNA (TPRA_LNC014288)". The record is from RNAcentral. Lineage: Eukaryota; Viridiplantae; Streptophyta; Magnoliopsida; Fabales; Fabaceae.